AUUGAACGCUGGCGGCAUGCUUUACACAUGCAAGUCGAACGGCAGCGGGGGCUUCGGCCUGCCGGCGAGUGGCGAACGGGUGAGUAAUGCAUCGGAACGUGCCCAGUCGUGGGGGAUAACACAUCGAAAGAUGUGCUAAUACCGCAUACGUCCUGAGGGAGAAAGCGGGGGAUCUUCGGACCUCGCGCGAUUGGAGCGGCCGAUGUCGGAUUAGCUAGUUGGUGGGGUAAAAGCCCACCAAGGCGACGAUCCGUAGCGGGUCUGAGAGGAUGAUCCGCCACACUGGGACUGAGACACGGCCCAGACUCCUACGGGAGGCAGCAGUGGGGAAUUUUGGACAAUGGGCGCAAGCCUGAUCCAGCCAUGCCGCGUGAGUGAAGAAGG
Molecule: ribosomal RNA, 384 nt
Filed under: uncultured bacterium
Lineage: Bacteria
Description: bacterial SSU rRNA
Rfam family: Bacterial small subunit ribosomal RNA
Source: RNAcentral